This 272-nucleotide ribosomal RNA is filed under the name uncultured bacterium. Its description in RNAcentral is "partial 16S ribosomal RNA". It matches the Rfam family "Bacterial small subunit ribosomal RNA", at positions 84 to 354 of the family's 1533-position model. The record is from RNAcentral.
CCCGCCGGCGACCGGCGCACGGGUGAGUAACACGUAUGCAACCUGGCCGCCACAGGGGGAUAACCCGCGGAAACGCGGCCUAAUACCCCGUGACGCCACCGGAGGGCAUCCUCCGGUGGCCAAAGGAGCGAUCCGGUGGCGGAUGGGCAUGCGGCGCAUUAGCUAGACGGCGGGGUGACGGCCCACCGUGGCGACGAUGCGUAGGGGUUCUGAGAGGAAGGCCCCCCGCACUGGGACUGAGACACGGCCCAGACUCCUACGGAAGGCAGCAG